GGUUAAGCGACUAAGCGUACACGGUGGAUGCCCUGGCAGUCAGAGGCGAUGAAGGACGUGCUAAUCUGCGAUAAGCGUCGGUAAGGUGAUAUGAACCGUUAUAACCGGCGAUUUCCGAAUGGGGAAACCCAGUGUGAUUCGUCACACUAUCAUUAACUGAAUCCAUAGGUUAAUGAGGCGAACCGGGGGAACUGAAACAUCUAAGUACCCCGAGGAAAAGAAAUCAACCGAGAUUCCCCCAGUAGCGGCGAGCGAACGGGGAGCAGCCCAGAGCCUGAAUCAGUGUGUGUGUUAGUGGAAGCGUCUGGAAAGGCGCGCGAUACAGGGUGACAGCCCCGUACACAAAAAUGCACAUGCUGUGAGCUCGAUGAGUAGGGCGGGACACGUGGUAUCCUGUCUGAAUAUGGGGGACCAUCCUCCAAGGCUAAAUACUCCUGACUGACCGAUAGUGAACCAGUACCGUGAGGGAAAGGCGAAAAGAACCCCGGCGAGGGGAGUGAAAAAGAACCUGAAACCGUGUACGUACAAGCAGUGGGAGCACGCUUAGGCGUGUGACUGCGUACCUUUUGUAUAAUGGGUCAGCGACUUAUAUUCUGUAGCAAGGUUAACCGAAUAGGGGAGCCGAAGGGAAACCGAGUCUUAACUGGGCGUUAAGUUGCAGGGUAUAGACCCGAAACCCGGUGAUCUAGCCAUGGGCAGGUUGAAGGUUGGGUAACACUAACUGGAGGACCGAACCGACUAAUGUUGAAAAAUUAGCGGAUGACUUGUGGCUGGGGGUGAAAGGCCAAUCAAACCGGGAGAUAGCUGGUUCUCCCCGAAAGCUAUUUAGGUAGCGCCUCGUGAACUCAUCUCCGGGGGUAGAGCACUGUUUCGGCAAGGGGGUCAUCCCGACUUACCAACCCGAUGCAAACUGCGAAUACCGGAGAAUGUUAUCACGGGAGACACACGGCGGGUGCUAACGUCCGUCGUGAAGAGGGAAACAACCCAGACCGCCAGCUAAGGUCCCAAAGUCAUGGUUAAGUGGGAAACGAUGUGGGAAGGCCCAGACAGCCAGGAUGUUGGCUUAGAAGCAGCCAUCAUUUAAAGAAAGCGUAAUAGCUCACUGGUCGAGUCGGCCUGCGCGGAAGAUGUAACGGGGCUAAACCAUGCACCGAAGCUGCGGCAGCGACGCUUAUGCGUUGUUGGGUAGGGGAGCGUUCUGUAAGCCUGUGAAGGUGUGCUGUGAGGCAUGCUGGAGGUAUCAGAAGUGCGAAUGCUGACAUAAGUAACGAUAAAGCGGGUGAAAAGCCCGCUCGCCGGAAGACCAAGGGUUCCUGUCCAACGUUAAUCGGGGCAGGGUGAGUCGACCCCUAAGGCGAGGCCGAAAGGCGUAGUCGAUGGGAAACAGGUUAAUAUUCCUGUACUUGGUGUUACUGCGAAGGGGGGACGGAGAAGGCUAUGUUGGCCGGGCGACGGUUGUCCCGGUUUAAGCGUGUAGGCUGGUUUUCCAGGCAAAUCCGGAAAAUCAAGGCUGAGGCGUGAUGACGAGGCACUACGGUGCUGAAGCAACAAAUGCCCUGCUUCCAGGAAAAGCCUCUAAGCAUCAGGUAACAUCAAAUCGUACCCCAAACCGACACAGGUGGUCAGGUAGAGAAUACCAAGGCGCUUGAGAGAACUCGGGUGAAGGAACUAGGCAAAAUGGUGCCGUAACUUCGGGAGAAGGCACGCUGAUAUGUAGGUGAAGUCCCUCGCGGAUGGAGCUGAAAUCAGUCGAAGAUACCAGCUGGCUGCAACUGUUUAUUAAAAACACAGCACUGUGCAAACACGAAAGUGGACGUAUACGGUGUGACGCCUGCCCGGUGCCGGAAGGUUAAUUGAUGGGGUCAGCGCAAGCGAAGCUCUUGAUCGAAGCCCCGGUAAACGGCGGUACGUAACUAUAACGGUCCUAAGGUAGCGAAAUUCCUUGUCGGGUAAGUUCCGACCUGCACGAAUGGCGUAAUGAUGGCCAGGCUGUCUCCACCCGAGACUCAGUGAAAUUGAACUCGCUGUGAAGAUGCAGUGUACCCGCGGCAAGACGGAAAGACCCCGUGAACCUUUACUAUAGCUUGACACUGAACAUUGAGCCUUGAUGUGUAGGAUAGGUGGGAGGCUUAGAAGUGUGGACGCCAGUCUGCAUGGAGCCGACCUUGAAAUACCACCCUUUAAUGUUUGAUGUUCUAACGUUGACCCGUAAUCCGGGUUGCGGACAGUGUCUGGUGGGUAGUUUGACUGGGGCGGUCUCCUCCUAAAGAGUAACGGAGGAGCACGAAGGUUGGCUAAUCCUGGUCGGACAUCAGGAGGUUAGUGCAAUGGCAUAAGCCAGCUUGACUGCGAGCGUGACGGCGCGAGCAGGUGCGAAAGCAGGUCAUAGUGAUCCGGUGGUUCUGAAUGGAAGGGCCAUCGCUCAACGGAUAAAAGGUACUCCGGGGAUAACAGGCUGAUACCGCCCAAGAGUUCAUAUCGACGGCGGUGUUUGGCACCUCGAUGUCGGCUCAUCACAUCCUGGGGCUGAAGUAGGUCCCAAGGGUAUGGCUGUUCGCCAUUUAAAGUGGUACGCGAGCUGGGUUUAGAACGUCGUGAGACAGUUCGGUCCCUAUCUGCCGUGGGCGCUGGAGAACUGAGGGGGGCUGCUCCUAGUACGAGAGGACCGGAGUGGACGCAUCACUGGUGUUCGGGUUGUCAUGCCAAUGGCACUGCCCGGUAGCUAAAUGCGGAAGAGAUAAGUGCUGAAAGCAUCUAAGCACGAAACUUGCCCCGAGAUGAGUUCUCCCUGACCCUUUAAGGGUCCUGAAGGAACGUUGAAGACGACGACGUUGAUAGGCCGGGUGUGUAAGCGCAGCGAUGCGUUGAGCUAACCGGUACUAAUGAACCGUGAGGCUUAACCUU
RNAcentral lists this ribosomal RNA (2904 nucleotides) under Escherichia coli. Its description in RNAcentral is "23S ribosomal RNA". It matches the Rfam family "Bacterial large subunit ribosomal RNA". Lineage: Bacteria; Pseudomonadati; Pseudomonadota; Gammaproteobacteria; Enterobacterales; Enterobacteriaceae. The record is from RNAcentral.